RNAcentral lists this ribosomal RNA (328 nucleotides) under uncultured eukaryote. RNAcentral describes it as "partial 18S ribosomal RNA". It matches the Rfam family "Eukaryotic small subunit ribosomal RNA", at positions 1470 to 1796 of the family's 1831-position model. The record is from RNAcentral.
CCCUUAGAUGUUCUGGGCUGCACGCGCGCUACACUGAUGCAUGCAACGAGUUUUCGACCUUGCCUGAAAAGGUUGGGUAAUCUGUUUAACAUGUGUCGUGAUGGGGAUAGACCAUUGCAAUUAUUGAUCUUCAACGAGGAAUUCCUAGUAAGCGCGGGUCAUCAUCCCGCGCUGAAUACGUCCCUGCCCUUUGUACACACCGCCCGUCGCUCCUACCGAUUGAGUGGUCCGGUGAGGCUUUGGGAUCUGAGCGGAAAGAGCGUUUCGCUGUUUCUGCUCGGAAAACUCAGUCGAACCUUAUCAUUUAGAGGAAGGAGAAGUCGUAACA